RNAcentral lists this ribosomal RNA (331 nucleotides) under uncultured eukaryote. Its description in RNAcentral is "partial 18S ribosomal RNA". It matches the Rfam family "Eukaryotic small subunit ribosomal RNA", at positions 1470 to 1796 of the family's 1831-position model. The record is from RNAcentral.
CCCUUAGAUGUUUUGGGCCGCACACGCGCUACACUGGCAGGUUCAUCGAGCUUCAUGCCCUGAUCUGAGCAGAACGGGAAAUCUUUGAACACCUGCCGUGCUUGGGAUAGAUGUUUGCAAUUAUUCAUCUUCAACGAGGAUUGCCUUGUAAGCGCACGUCAUCAGCGUGCAUUGAAUACGACCCUGUAUUCUGUACACACCGCCCGUCGCUCCUACCGAUUGAAGUUUUCGGUGAAUUUACUGGAGAUCCCUUUUGAAGGUGGUUCGCCACUGGAAGAAGUAUUCAAAAGUAAAUGAAUCGAAUGCUUUAGAGGAAGGAGAAGUCGUAACA